Molecule: long non-coding RNA, 1813 nt
Filed under: Theobroma cacao (cacao)
Lineage: Eukaryota; Viridiplantae; Streptophyta; Magnoliopsida; Malvales; Malvaceae
Description: long non-coding RNA (TCAC_LNC003635)
Source: RNAcentral
AAAAAAACACAAAACCUAGGUGGAAAAAUUGAAGAAAAAGUGUGGGAUUUCAAAGGAUCAAGCAAUAAAAGGUAAAAUUUCUUGAUUUUGACUUGUGAUCUACCUUUCCCAUGCAUUUCUCCUUAUUUUUCAUGGUUAAAUUUCAUGUUUUCAUGGUGAAUUUAUGGCUGCCCAAAUGGGUACGGAGAGAGAAUGAAGUUAGAUUGAUUUGAUUUUAAGUUAUGUUAGUGUUUUUAGUUAGUUUAGCAUAUUUAGAAACAAAACAACAAGAAAAGAAUUCAUUUUCCCCCAUCACCAUCAUUGGCUGAAUUUUUUAGGGAGGAUAUUGUGGCUGAAAUUGAUGAUAUUUGGGUGAUAUUUGAUGUUUGGUGAGGCUAUAAAUUAAAUGAGAAAUUUUGGUAUGAAAAUCUGAAUUUUUACCUAAUGUAUAGACAUGUGUGAUUAUUGAUCCGGGACUGAUAAAUUGAAUCUCAUUCACAGUCACUGAGGUAAUUUAGGUAUAAUUGGAGCGUAGAAAGUGAGAAGAAUUGAUUUGGAGUUAAAUUGGAGAUUUUAGCCGAUUAGGUCGAGUAUAGUGUGACUUAGGUCGAAUAUCACAUUUAAGUGAUUAAUCAGACAUUUUGCAUCCCAUCUCAUGCGUUCAUUUAGAUUAGAGAGCCUAAAAUAGUUUAUGAUAAAUUGACACAAUUUAUUGAAAUUCAUGCCACGUAUGAUGUAUAGGUGGUGAGCCCUCUAACAAGGGUAAAGAAAUAGUGCCCGAAGACCGAGAAUAGGAAUAUAUCGAACUCCUAGUAUUGUGAGUAACCUUAUCAUCAUUUUUAUUAUCUAAAGUAUGUUUUUAAUCGGUUUUGGUGAAAUUUUAUGAAAAUGAGUUUAAAUGGUAAAUCUUGAGUUUUACAAACAAAAUGUGUCUACACAAAAAGAUUUUAUAAAUUGUUUUAAAAUUGAAUGAUGAUUUUGAAAAAAAGAGUAAUUGGAGGCCACUUGUUAUGAAUUAAAUUUAUGAUUUAAAUCUAAUGGCUUAUGACAGUAUUUGCAUGAAUGAUUGAAUUGGUAUUUGUGUUGAAAUAUAUGAAAUGUGUUUUUAACCUUGAAAGGCUGUGAAUUAUAAUAAUUGCCAUGUCAUGCUAGAAUAAAUUUUAUUGAUUUGUGGAUUAUAUAUUAAUUAAUCACUGCAGUAGGGGGUCUUUGUGGAUCAGCCUUUUAGAAAGACACGGUAAAUCCCAUUAUAUUCUUACUUCGAACGGAGAGGCGCGUAGGGUAUCUCCUGGGGUAAAGCUUAGAGUUCACUUCAAGCCGAACCACCACUUGAAGGGGAACUCAGCCAACGCCAAGGAACGGCUGUGUUUUUUCAAACUAAAAAUAUGUUUUACGUGUAUAUGAAAUUUUUAACAGCCUUGGCGGCUCGAGUGUACGCCUCUGAUCAAGGUGUUAUCGAGUAUAUUUGAUGGCAUGAGCCAAGUGCUUAUGAAAGUCAUAAGCCCUAAUGAGAAAUUAAAUAAAAUACAACCGUUUGCAUGGAUUUGGAUGAAUUUUCAAAUUGCGAAAUACUUAAAAUGAUGGGAUAUUUUAAUUGUCUCUUUUUACUCGAUUUUAGCUGAUUUAAAUGAUGUUUGUUUACUCACUAGGAAUGUAUAAUCUCACCACCCUCAUUUCCACUCAUUUCCACCCAUUUCAGGCUCAGAGUAGGCUGUAGAUAGUUGAUUCCAUUGAGGGCUUCUAUUGGAUUAGCGUCCUCCACACAGUAGGUUCACAGUUUCUUUAAUUCUAGUUAUUAUGGGCUCACUUAAUAUUGUAAAUUUAAUAGUUUAUU